Molecule: RNA transcript, 892 nt
Organism: Mus pahari (shrew mouse)
Lineage: Eukaryota; Metazoa; Chordata; Mammalia; Rodentia; Muridae
Gene name: ribose-phosphate pyrophosphokinase 1 pseudogene
Exons: 1
Source: RefSeq, a predicted model, not a curated record
AUACCUGUGUGGAAAUUGGGGAAAGCGUUCGUGGAGAAGAUGUCUACAUUGUAUAGAGUGGGUGUGGUGAGAUAAAUGACAAUCUCAUGGAGCUUUUGAUCAUGAUUAAUGCUUGCAAGAUUGCUUCAGCCAGCCGGGUUACUGCAGUCAUCCCAUGCUUCCCUUAUGCCCUCCAAGAUAAGAAGGAUAAGAGCCGGGCUCCAAUCUCAGCUAAGCUUGUUGCAAAUAUGCUAUCUGUAGCAGGUGCGGAUCAUAUUAUCACUGUGGAUCUACAUGCAUCUCAAAUUCAGGGUUUCUUUGAUAUCCCAGUGGACAAUUUAUAUGCAGAGCCAGCUGUCCUAAAGUGGAUACAGGAGAAUAUAUCUGAGUGGAGAAAUUGUACUAUUGUCUCACCUGAUGCUGGUGGAGCCAAGAGAGUUACCUCCAUUGCAGACCGGUUGAAUGUGGAUUUUGCUUUGAUUCACAAGGAACGGAAGAAGGCCAAUGAAGUGGACCGCAUGGUACUUGUGGGAGAUGUGAAGGACCGUGUAGCCAUACUUGUGGACGACAUGGCUGACACUUGUGGUACAAUCUGUCAUGCUGCUGACAAACUUCUCUCAGCUGGAGCUACCAGAGUUUAUGCUAUCUUGACACACGGAAUCUUUUCUGGCCCAGCCAUUUCUCGCAUCAACAAUGCAUGCUUUGAAGCAGUAGUAGUUACCAAUACCAUACCUCAGGAGGACAAGAUGAAACACUGCUCCAAAAUACAGGUGAUUGACAUCUCUAUGAUCCUUGCAGAAGCCAUCAGGAGAACCCACAAUGGAGAAUCUGUCUCCUACCUGUUCAGCCAUGUUCCUUUAUAACUUCUGAAGCAUUUUGAAAAUAAACCUACCCCACCCCUUGUUUUUCUUGA